Molecule: ribosomal RNA, 465 nt
Filed under: Vreelandella stevensii
Lineage: Bacteria; Pseudomonadati; Pseudomonadota; Gammaproteobacteria; Oceanospirillales; Halomonadaceae
Description: partial 16S ribosomal RNA
Rfam family: Bacterial small subunit ribosomal RNA
Source: RNAcentral
CCUACGGGUGGCUGCAGUGGGGAAUAUUGGACAAUGGGCGAAAGCCUGAUCCAGCCAUGCCGCAUGUGUGAAGAAGGCCUUCGGGUUGUAAAGCACUUUCAGUGGGGAAGAAAGCCUUGGGGCUAAUACCCUCGAGGAAGGACAUCACCCACAGAAGAAGCACCGGCUAACUCCGUGCCAGCAGCCGCGGUAAUACGGAGGGUGCGAGCGUUAAUCGGAAUUACUGGGCGUAAAGCGCGCGUAGGCGGUCUGAUAAGCCGGUUGUGAAAGCCCCGGGCUCAACCUGGGAACGGCAUCCGGAACUGUCAGGCUAGAGUGCAGGAGAGGAAGGUAGAAUUCCCGGUGUAGCGGUGAAAUGCGUAGAGAUCGGGAGGAAUACCAGUGGCGAAGGCGGCCUUCUGGACUGACACUGACGCUGAGGUGCGAAAGCGUGGGUAGCAAACAGGAUUAGAUACCCUAGUAGUC